Molecule: unclassified non-coding RNA, 200 nt
Filed under: Nectria sp. (in: ascomycete fungi)
Lineage: Eukaryota; Fungi; Ascomycota; Sordariomycetes; Hypocreales; Nectriaceae
Description: Nectria sp. (in: Fungi) partial internal transcribed spacer 2
Source: RNAcentral
UUAAGUUCAGCGGGUAUUCCUACCUGAUCCGAGGUCAAACUUUCAGAAGUGGGGGGUUUAACGGCGUGGCCGCGCUGCGAUCCAGUGCGAGUGUUGCUACUACGCAGAGGAAGCUACAGCGAGACCGCCACUAGAUUUGAGGGGACGCGCGCCGCGGAGGGCACGCCGCAUCCCCAACACCAAGGCCCGGGGGCUUGAGG